Molecule: non-coding RNA, 70 nt
Organism: Myotis davidii
Lineage: Eukaryota; Metazoa; Chordata; Mammalia; Chiroptera; Vespertilionidae
Source: Rfam
GCCCUUUUGGCUCAGUGGAGAGAGCAUUAGCCUAUGGACUGAAUGCCAGGUUCGAUUCCGGUCAAGGGCA